Molecule: ribosomal RNA, 253 nt
Filed under: uncultured bacterium
Lineage: Bacteria
Description: partial 16S ribosomal RNA
Rfam family: Bacterial small subunit ribosomal RNA
Source: RNAcentral
UACGUAGGGUGCAAGCGUUGUCCGGAAUUAUUGGGCGUAAAGAGCUCGUAGGCGGUUUGUCGCGUCUGGUGUGAAAAUCCAGGGCUUAACCCUGGACCUGCAUCGGGUACGGGCAGACUAGAGUGCGGUAGGGGAGAUCGGAAUUCCUGGUGUAGCGGUGAAAUGCGCAGAUAUCGGGAGGAACACCGGUGGCGAAGGCGGUUCUCUGGGCCUUACCUGACGCUGAGGAGCGAAAGCGUGGGGAGCGAACAGG